This 445-nucleotide ribosomal RNA is filed under the name uncultured bacterium. RNAcentral's name for it is "bacterial SSU rRNA". It matches the Rfam family "Bacterial small subunit ribosomal RNA", at positions 331 to 793 of the family's 1533-position model. The record is from RNAcentral.
CCAGACUCCUACGGGAGGCAGCAGUGGGGAAUAUUGCACAAUGGGGGAAACCCUGAUGCAGCGACGCCGCGUGAGUGAAGAAGUAUUUCGGUAUGUAAAGCUCUAUCAGCAGGGAAGAAAAUGACGGUACCUGACCAAGAAGCCCCGGCUAACUACGUGCCAGCAGCCGCGGUAAUACGUAGGGGGCAAGCGUUAUCCGGAUUUACUGGGUGUAAAGGGAGCGUAGACGGUUGUGCAAGUCAGAAGUGAAAGCCCGUGGCUCAACCGCGGGACUGCUUUGGAAACUGUGGAACUGGAGUGCAGGAGAGGUAAGCGGAAUUCCUGGUGUAGCGGUGAAAUGCGUAGAUAUCAGGAGGAACACCAGUGGCGAAGGCGGCUUACUGGACUGUAACUGACGUUGAGGCUCGAAAGCGUGGGGAGCAAACAGGAUUAGAUACCCGGGUAC